CUGGAGGUAUCAGAAGUGCGAAUGCUGACAUAAGUAACGAUAAAGCGGGUGAAAAGCCCGCUCGCCGGAAGACCAAGGGUUCCUGUCCAACGUUAAUCGGGGCAGGGUGAGUCGACCCCUAAGGCGAGGCCGAAAGGCGUAGUCGAUGGGAAACAGGUUAAUAUUCCUGUACUUGGUGUUACUGCGAAGGGGGGACGGAGAAGGCUAUGUUGGCCGGGCGACGGUUGUCCCGGUUUAAGCGUGUAGGCUGGUUUUCCAGGCAAAUCCGGAAAAUCAAGGCUGAGGCGUGAUGACGAGGCACUACGGUGCUGAAGCAACAAAUGCCCUGCUUCCAGGAAAAGCCUCUAAGCAUCAGGUAACAUCAAAUCGUACCCCAAACCGACACAGGUGGUCAGGUAGAGAAUACCAAGGCGCUUGAGAGAACUCGGGUGAAGGAACUAGGCAAAAUGGUGCCGUAACUUCGGGAGAAGGCACGCUGAUAUGUAGGUGAAGUCCCU
This 497-nucleotide ribosomal RNA is filed under the name Escherichia coli. RNAcentral describes it as "partial 23S ribosomal RNA". It matches the Rfam family "Bacterial large subunit ribosomal RNA", at positions 1273 to 1769 of the family's 2925-position model. Lineage: Bacteria; Pseudomonadati; Pseudomonadota; Gammaproteobacteria; Enterobacterales; Enterobacteriaceae. The record is from RNAcentral.